CCUACGGGAGGCAGCAGUGAGGAAUAUUGGUCAAUGGACGAGAGUCUGAACCAGCCAAGUAGCGUGAAGGAUGACUGCCCUAUGGGUUGUAAACUUCUUUUAUAUGGGAAUAAAACGUUCCACGUGUGGGAUUUUGUAUGUACCAUAUGAAUGAGGAUCGGCUAACUCCGUGCCAGCAGCCGCGGUAAUACGGAGGAUCCGAGCGUUAUCCGGAUUUAUUGGGUUUAAAGGGAGCGUAGGUGGAUUGUUAAGUCAGUUGUGAAAGUUUGCGGCUCAACCGUAAAAUUGCAGUUGAAACUGGCAGUCUUGAGUACAGUAGAGGUGUGCGGAAUUCGUGGUGUAGCGGUGAAAUGCUUAGAUAUCACGAAGAACUCCGAUUGCGAAGGCAGUUCACUGGACUGCAACUGACACUGAGGCUCGAAAGUGUGGGUAUCAAACAGGAUUAGAUACCCCAGUAGUC
RNAcentral lists this ribosomal RNA (460 nucleotides) under uncultured bacterium. RNAcentral describes it as "partial 16S ribosomal RNA". It matches the Rfam family "Bacterial small subunit ribosomal RNA", at positions 338 to 795 of the family's 1533-position model. The record is from RNAcentral.